Molecule: ribosomal RNA, 467 nt
Filed under: uncultured bacterium
Lineage: Bacteria
Description: partial 16S ribosomal RNA
Rfam family: Bacterial small subunit ribosomal RNA
Source: RNAcentral
GACGAACGCUGGCGGCGUGCUUAACACAUGCAAGUCGAACGGAAAGGCCCUGCUUUUGUGGGGUGCUCGAGUGGCGAACGGGUGAGUAACACGUGAGUAACCUGCCCUUGACUUUGGGAUAACUUCAGGAAACUGGGGCUAAUACCGGAUAGGAGCUCCUGCUGCAUGGUGGGGGUUGGAAAGUUUCGGCGGUUGGGGAUGGACUCGCGGCUUAUCAGCUUGUUGGUGGGGUAGUGGCUUACCAAGGCUUUGACGGGUAGCCGGCCUGAGAGGGUGACCGGCCCCUUUGGAACGAGGUUCCGCCCCAGACUCCUCCGGGAGGCAGCAGUGGGAAUAUUGCACAAUGGGCGGAAGCCUGAUGCAGCAACGCCGCGUGCGGGAUGACGGCCUUCGGGUUGUAAACCGCUUUCGCCUGUGACGAAGCGUGAGUGACGGUAAUGGGUAAAGAAGCACCGGCUAACUACGUG